CUCUGCUCCUGCUAUGCUCCAACCUCACUCUUCCCUGAUUUCUCCUCCUGGCAUUCCAGGCUCCUGGACCCCAGUAUCUUCUUCAGACUGAGGAUUUGACUUCUGCUUGGUCUCCUAGGCAGCCCUAGGAACUAACACAGGCACCGACUGCACCAAGCAGGAUUCUGGAAGCUGAGGUUACAGUGGAGAAGGAAACAGGGGAGCAGCUGCUCUGUCCUAUAAGGUGGCGUAAGUAUGGAGAACAGGCCCAGACUCUUCCUAACAGCCCACGGGAGCCAGCAGGAGCCAGCAGGAGGCCAGUGGGGAUGGAGAGAGGAUGGCACAAAGGGACGGCAAGGUCCGGCAGGGGUUGGGAACACUGAGGCAGCCGCAGACUCUACAAGGUCUCCAGGUCCAGAGCGUGGACCCUCUGAAGUCAGUCCUUCCUCCACAGUUUCUGUCUGAAAUCCUGCUCCACGUUGUGUUCGGCUUUCACGUGGCACACGCCUCUCCUUGCUGGACACGCCAGCCAGGCUUUGUCAUUUCAUCCUAUCUUUUUUGUCAGCUCAUGACAGUAACAGCAGUGUCACUCCAAAACAACCUUGGCAUUCACACCAGCACCUAUCUGGGCACCAAAAUCUCGAGGUGACACUUGGCUUUGAGGCCAGCCUCCCACAUCUUUCAGAGCAUGCUCCAUGAGUGACCUGAAUCUGCCUGCUGACAUCCUCAGGUGGAAUAUGCCACCAGGGUCCCUUCUCCAGCCCCACCACACUGCGGCCCACUCCUUCCAGGCACCCCGGAACACUGUCCGACAGCGCCGACCCACAGGAUGUUCCAGGACCAUGGAAGUGCUUUAUGUCUGUGCUGUCUAAUACAGGAGUUAUUGAACAUUAGAAAUGUUGUUAGUGGGCUGGGGAACUGAACUUUUAAUUGCAUUUAGUUGUAGUUAAUUUAAGUGUAAAUCAUCACUUGUGGCUCGUGGCUACCUUACUGGGUAGCUCUGGCUAGCUCUACGGGAUCUAGGUCAGCCUUCUUAAAAAGAUGGAAGAGGUUGGGUGUGAUGGCUCACACCUGUAAUCCCAGCACUUUGGGAGGCCGA
RNAcentral lists this long non-coding RNA (1078 nucleotides) under Homo sapiens (human). RNAcentral's name for it is "HSALNT0305518". Lineage: Eukaryota; Metazoa; Chordata; Mammalia; Primates; Hominidae. The record is from RNAcentral.